GGCUUGGUUAAAAGUUGAUUCCAUGUUUGUUGUCACCUGGUCCUAAUAUUAAGUGGGAUUAGUAAUCCCAGGCCCACCAAAAACACAUUCUUAGGUGUUCUUAGCUAAAUCCAUGUGAAAAUGAGGGACUAUUAGUCCCGACCAAAACUCUGCAACUAACUCCACCGACGCGCCGGCUGCAACCACCCUAAACCCUAAACCACCCAACGGCAAUCACAAUCACCGACUAUGGGUUGUAGACGGCGAUGGCAGGCAGCAACAGCGAUGGCAGACGGCGACGACAAAACACGACGACGAUUGAAGCUGUUCCACGAUUUAUCUUUGGGUCUUCAUUGAGUCUGCUUCUACCCUCUCUCUCUCAAGUUUUUUUGUGGAUAAUGAUUUUGGUGUGGGCUAUGGAUUUCUGCCAUGAUUUAGGUGUGAGCUCCUGCCUCUCCCUCAAAUUUGUUUCUGCAAAUUACUUACCACACCAAAGCCAAAGUAUCUGAAUUGGAUGAUGUUUUUAGGUGGGGUAGAAAUUAGAAGAAGAGAGAAUAUAGAUUGAAAAGAAGAGAAGGAGAGAGAGCAGGGAGAAGAAGAGAUGAAAAAGAAAAAAGACGCAGAGAGAAGAUGAAGAAGAAAGAGUAGAGGGAG
Molecule: long non-coding RNA, 633 nt
Filed under: Prunus dulcis (almond)
Lineage: Eukaryota; Viridiplantae; Streptophyta; Magnoliopsida; Rosales; Rosaceae
Description: sRNA ncRNA
Source: RNAcentral